Molecule: ribosomal RNA, 481 nt
Filed under: uncultured bacterium
Lineage: Bacteria
Description: partial 16S ribosomal RNA
Rfam family: Bacterial small subunit ribosomal RNA
Source: RNAcentral
GAUGAACGCUGGCGGCGUGCCUAACACAUGCAAGUCGAACGGAGAUUACGGACGGAAGUUUUCGGAUGGAAGACUGUAAUUCUUAGUGGCGGACGGGUGAGUAACGCGUGGGCAACCUGCCCUAUACAGGGGGAUAGCAGCUGGAAACGGCUGGUAAGACCGCAUAAGUCGGUUAAAUCGCAUGAUUUGAUCGGGAAAUGAGCAAUCAGGUAUAGGAUGGGCCCGCGUCCGAUUAGCCAGUUGGCAGGGUAAAAGCCUACCAAAGCGACGAUCGGUAGCCGGACUGAGAGGUCGGACGGCCACAUUGGGACUGAGACACGGCCCAAACUCCUACGCGAGGCAGCAGUGGGGGAUAUUGCACAAUGGAGGAAACUCUGAUGCAGCGACGCCGCGUGAGUGAAGAAGUAUUUCGGUAUGUAAAGCUCUAUCAGCAGGGAAGAUGAUGACGGUACCUGACUAAGAAGCCCCGGCUAACUACGUG